UAGCCACUACUUUUCAUCUUGCUACUUUCGAUUUAUCUAUUGCAAAUUCAUAAUUAAUAAUGGAGCUGCUAAGAUCGCUGCUGCUGCCAUGAAUUGGGGAUAAAGGGGAUUAUUGAGUUAAAUUCUGCGAUUGGGACAUCGAGAUGCAGGUCGAGAGGCACCUCAUUGAGC
Molecule: non-coding RNA, 171 nt
Organism: Arachis ipaensis
Lineage: Eukaryota; Viridiplantae; Streptophyta; Magnoliopsida; Fabales; Fabaceae
Source: RefSeq, a predicted model, not a curated record